GUUUGAUACUGAUCAUUUUAUACAGCUAAUUGAAGACCAUACCGGUGUCUGGGACAUGGCAUCCAAAAAGUAUAUGGACCAAAAUGAACGAGAAAAAAGUUGGGAAGAGAUCGGAAAAGGAAUGUGUGCAACGUGGGAUGAAUUGGGACCACAAGAAAAGCAACAACAUGUGAAGGACUUAAAAAACAAAUGGAGGCAUAUAAGGGAUAGUUACUCCAAAUUUGUAAAUCAAGGAAAAACUGGUGAUCCCGCGACUAAAAAAAAAAAAAUAUGUGUAUGCUGAUUCACUGGCUUUCCUACAACAUACCGUGGUAAAACGAAGAACUUCUGGAAACAUCGAUGUUAAUGACGAAGAGGAAAAUGAAAGCGAAGCAAGCAGCAGAGACGAGUGUGCUUAUAGAAGUGGUGGCGAAGAGGAAAAUGAAUGUGACAGGUCAUCGAAGGUAGGAGUGUCAGCGACUGCUAAGCGAAGCAAAUCGGUAGUUACUGAAUUUCAAAGAAGACUACUAGAAAAGUUAGAAAAACACAGCCCCGAAGAAGAAGAUGGGGAUAGAGCAUUUCUGUUGUCACUGCUCCCCAAUGUUAAGAAAUUGAAUGAUGAAGAGAAACUUGAGUUUCGUUUGUACGCCCUACAAUUUUUUCGUGACCUGAACCAGAAAAAGAAACAGACACUUAAUCACAGCACUUCAUCUAUGUCUCAUAUCCCUGUCUAUCAUCCAGGCAGCCAGUUACCGUCACAGUUUUUACCUCCGUCAGCUGAAACCUUCCCUACAUGCCAGCAGAUCGCACCUUCUUAUCAAUACAGUCCAUGCAAUCAGCCUACCCUUCACUCAGCAAUUUCGUCCUCUCUCCAGCAAAAUUCAAACUCAUAAUGUUUAUUUUUCUCUCUCUUUAUAAUUACAGUAAAUUUGAAUAACAAACUUUUGUAUUUCAAACUCUUAUUAA
Molecule: long non-coding RNA, 945 nt
Organism: Bacillus rossius redtenbacheri
Lineage: Eukaryota; Metazoa; Arthropoda; Insecta; Phasmatodea; Bacillidae
Exons: 3
Source: RefSeq, a predicted model, not a curated record